This 252-nucleotide ribosomal RNA is filed under the name uncultured bacterium. RNAcentral's name for it is "partial 16S ribosomal RNA". It matches the Rfam family "Bacterial small subunit ribosomal RNA", at positions 524 to 776 of the family's 1533-position model. The record is from RNAcentral.
UACGAAGGUGCAAACGUUGCUCGGAAUCAUUGGGCGUAAAGCGCACGUAGGCGGCUCCAAAAGUCGGAUGUGAAAUCCCUGGGCUCAACCGAGGAAGUGCAUCCGAAACUGCGGAGCUUGAGUAUGGAAGAGGGUCGCGGAAUUCCCGGUGUAGAGGUGAAAUUCGUAGAUAUCGGGAGGAACACCAGUGGCGAAGGCGGCGACCUGGGCCAAUACUGACGCUGAGGUGCGAAAGCGUGGGGAGCAAACAGG